RNAcentral lists this ribosomal RNA (245 nucleotides) under uncultured bacterium. RNAcentral's name for it is "partial 16S ribosomal RNA". It matches the Rfam family "Bacterial small subunit ribosomal RNA", at positions 524 to 768 of the family's 1533-position model. The record is from RNAcentral.
UACAGAGGUCUCAAGCGUUGUUCGGAUUCAUUGGGCGUAAAGGGUGCGUAGGCGGCGCGGUAAGUCGGGUGUGAAGUCUCGGAGCUUAACUCCGAAACCGCAUUCGAUACUGCCGUGCUUGAGGACUGGAGAGGAGACUGGAAUUUACGGUGUAGCGGUGAAAUGCGUAAAUAUCGUAAGGAAGACCAGUGGCGAAGGCGGGUCUCUGGACAGUUCCUGACGCUGAGGCACGAAGGUCAGGGGAG